RNAcentral lists this long non-coding RNA (707 nucleotides) under Zea mays. RNAcentral describes it as "drought responsive lncRNA". Lineage: Eukaryota; Viridiplantae; Streptophyta; Magnoliopsida; Poales; Poaceae. The record is from RNAcentral.
UGUCGGUCAAUCCUGCUAAUCCUGCUUGGGCUGCAAAAGCCUAAAGGCUAAGCCCACUCCGACAUGAGUCCAUAUAUUUUAAUAGGUUAAUAGCCUAGAUAUGUAGGCCAAUAAGUAAAUUCAACUAUACAACCAUAUACGACUCUUUGCCGGAUGACCGCACGCUUCUCUCGUUUUUGUCAAUUCAGCUUCUUGGUUCCGGUUGGUCGUCGCUUAUUCUCUUCCUUGCUGCUGCCGACUAAUGCCAGUAGCAUCUAGGCUGCUUCUGAUUUCAUAAAAUCAUGUGCGAUCUAGCUAAAUUAAUGGUGCAAACAAAUAAAGCAUAUUACUUUUCCAUUGGUCUAUCAACUUUUAAAACUAGUACUAAUAUUGCCGGUUGCCAUAACGUCAAUGGAAAAGAUGUUUUUAGCUAUGAAUGUUGUAAAGAAAAAGUUAACAAAUAAUAUGGGUGAUCAGUUCUCGAGUGAUUGCCUAAUAUGCUAUGUAGAUAUGUUUUCAACCAUUGGUAAUGAUGAGGUGAUUGAUCUUUUUCGCCUGAUUGGAUGCCUGUAUCUGGACGCGCAGGCUCGGGUGGCCUUGGCUAAUCCGAUACGGCAAUUUUCUACGUACAUGUGGAUGCAACCAAAUAGCUAAAUAACUUGUUUUGCAUCCGCUCAUGCAGCCUGCGUCUCCCUUGUGCAGGCAACCAAACAGGAGCUUAGAUAGAG